RNAcentral lists this ribosomal RNA (497 nucleotides) under uncultured bacterium. Its description in RNAcentral is "partial 16S ribosomal RNA". It matches the Rfam family "Bacterial small subunit ribosomal RNA", at positions 28 to 507 of the family's 1533-position model. The record is from RNAcentral.
GAUGAACGCUGGCGGCGUGCCUAAUACAUGCAAGUCGAGCGAACGGACGAGGAGCUUGCUUCUCUGAUGUUAGCGGCGGACGGGUGAGUAACACGUGGAUAACCUACCUAUAAGACUGGGAUAACUUCGGGACACCGUAGCUAAUACCGGAUAAUAUUUUGAACCGCAUGGUUCAAAAGUGAAAGACGGUCUUGCUGGCACUUCUCGAUGCAUCCGCGCUGCAUUAGCUAGUUGGUAAGGUAACGGCUUACCAAGGCAACGAGGCAUAGCCGACGGGUGAGGGGGAUAGGCCACACUGGAAGUGAGACAGGGUCCAGGCUCCUAAGGGAGGCAGCAGUAGGGAAUCUUCCGCAAUGGGCGAAAGCAUGGCGGAGCAACGCCGCGCGAGAUAUAGAGGUCUCCGGAUCGUAAAACUCUGUUAUUAGGGAUGAACAUAUGUGUAAGUUACUGUGCACAGCUUGACGGUAACUAAUCAGAAAGCCACGGCUAACUACGUG